Molecule: transfer RNA, 70 nt
Filed under: Millardia meltada (soft-furred rat)
Lineage: Eukaryota; Metazoa; Chordata; Mammalia; Rodentia; Muridae
Description: tRNA-Cys
Source: RNAcentral
AGCCUUAAGGUGAUAUUCAUGUCGAAUUGCAAAUUCGAAGGUGUAGAAAAAAUCUAUUCUACUAAGGCUU